RNAcentral lists this long non-coding RNA (212 nucleotides) under Brassica napus (rape). Its description in RNAcentral is "long non-coding RNA (BNAP_LNC010077)". The record is from RNAcentral. Lineage: Eukaryota; Viridiplantae; Streptophyta; Magnoliopsida; Brassicales; Brassicaceae.
AGUCGGUAAAGGAAUGUGCAGAAGGCGUGAGAAUUGACUGAGUGUUGGGGUUGAGUGGCUUGUUGGUCAGUGAUGUGGAGAGUUGUCGGACAAGCCAUUGGUGCCGGUGACGUUGUGUAUGCGGCAGAUUGACCGAUAGAGAAUGUAGAGAGUUUGAUUUUAGAUAGUAGAAAGAGAAACAAAGGGUGCAACUGGUUAUUCCUAAUAGGAAU